Sycon ciliatum is the source of this 427-nucleotide long non-coding RNA. RefSeq lists it as uncharacterized. Lineage: Eukaryota; Metazoa; Porifera; Calcarea; Leucosolenida; Sycettidae. The record is from RefSeq and is a predicted model, not a curated record. The transcript has 4 exons.
UAACAAGGCGUUGACUACAAAUGCUGUCCCAGUAGACCUGUCCCAACUUUUUCAUGUAGUGUGCGAGAUACCCUGCCUUCCUCGACAAAAUGAUCAAAUGGAGUCUAAAACAAUGGCUGAUGAUAUCUCUUGUCGAUAUGAUGUUCUCAACUGCAGUGUACCAGACAUACCAUUUGGUAUGAGUAAUGCUUCACUCGUUCAAUAUGGUGCUACUGUUCAGUUUACAUGUCAGCAUACAUACUUUCUGUGGGGAAGUUCAUCAGCUACAUGCAACGGUGAUGGUACAUUGAGCUCAGUGCCGAUAUGUUAUACAUGCAAAGCAUCCACUGCUGACUUCACAACAGGACUGAGCGGCUACACACAAGCUACUAGCAUUGAUCAAUUUGACUGGACGAGAAAACAAGGAACAACAGGAAGUCACAACACA